GCCAUCGGUCAUACCACUUUGAAUACCUCGGUUCUUGUCCAAUCACCGAAGCUUAACAACGGUAGGCCCGGGAGGUACUUAGAAGGGAGAUUGCGUCCGAACACCGGGUGUUGAUGGCA
This is a ribosomal RNA of Tropilaelaps mercedesae, 119 nucleotides long. Lineage: Eukaryota; Metazoa; Arthropoda; Arachnida; Mesostigmata; Laelapidae. The record is from Rfam.